CCUACGGGAGACAGCAGUAGGGAAUAUUGCUCAAUGGGGGAAACCCUGAAGCAGCAACGCCGCGUGGAGGAUGAAGGUUUUAGGAUUGUAAACUCCUUUUGUUAGAGAAGAUUAUGACGGUAUCUAACGAAUAAGCACCGGCUAACUCCGUGCCAGCAGCCGCGGUAAUACGGAGGGUGCAAGCGUUACUCGGAAUCACUGGGCGUAAAGCGUGCGUAGGCGGGGUAAUAAGUCAGAUGUGAAAUCCUGUAGCUUAACUACAGAACUGCAUUUGAAACUGUUACUCUGGAGUGUGGGAGAGGUAGGUGGAAUUCUUGGUGUAGGGGUAAAAUCCGUAGAGAUCAAGAGGAAUACUCAUUGCGAAGGCGACCUACUGGACCGUAACUGACGUUGAGGCUCGAAAGCGUGGGGAGCAAACAGGAUUAGAUACCCGGGUAGUC
This 440-nucleotide ribosomal RNA is filed under the name uncultured bacterium. RNAcentral's name for it is "partial 16S ribosomal RNA". It matches the Rfam family "Bacterial small subunit ribosomal RNA", at positions 338 to 795 of the family's 1533-position model. The record is from RNAcentral.